GGGGAUGUGGCUCAGUUGGUAGAGUGCUUGCUUAAUACACAUGGAGCCCUGGGUUCAAUCCCUAGUUCUUCA
Molecule: transfer RNA, 72 nt
Filed under: Mus musculus (house mouse)
Lineage: Eukaryota; Metazoa; Chordata; Mammalia; Rodentia; Muridae
Rfam family: tRNA
About the family: Transfer RNA (tRNA) molecules are approximately 80 nucleotides in length. Their secondary structure includes four short double-helical elements and three loops (D, anti-codon, and T loops).
Source: Rfam by way of RNAcentral